CACGUAGGGGGCGAGCGUUGUCCGGAUUUAUUGGGCGUAAAGAGCUCGUAGGCGGUUUCGUAAGUCGGAUGUGAAAACUCCAGGCUCAACUUGGAGACGCCAUUCGAUACUGCGAUGACUUGAGUCCGGUAGGGGAGUGUGGAAUUCCUGGUGUAGCGGUGAAAUGCGCAGAUAUCAGGAGGAACACCGAUGGCGAAGGCAGGUCUCUGGGCAUUAACUGACGCUGAGGAGCGAAAGCAUGGGGAGCGAACAGG
This 254-nucleotide ribosomal RNA is filed under the name uncultured bacterium. RNAcentral's name for it is "partial 16S ribosomal RNA". It matches the Rfam family "Bacterial small subunit ribosomal RNA", at positions 524 to 776 of the family's 1533-position model. The record is from RNAcentral.